AUUGAACGCUGGCGGCAGGCCUAACACAUGCAAGUCGCACGAGUGGCGGACGGGUGAGUAAUGUCUGGGAAACUGCCUGAUAGAGGGGGAUAACUACUUGAAACGGUAGCUAAUACCGCCUACUAUCAGAUGGGCCCAGAUGUGAUUAGCUUGUUGGUGGGGUAAUGGCGAACCAAGGCGACGAUCCCUAGCUGGGCUGAGAGGAUGAUCAGCCACACUGGAACUGAGACACGGUCCAGACUCCUACGGGAGGCAGCAGUGGGGAAUAUUGGACAAUGGGCGAAAGCCUGAUCCAGCCAUGCAGCGUGUGGGAAGAAGGCCUUCGGGUUGUAAAGGACUUUUAGGAGGGAGGCGUUACCAAAAGAAUAAGCACCGGCUAACUUCGUGCCAGCAGCCGCGGUAAUAC
RNAcentral lists this ribosomal RNA (406 nucleotides) under uncultured bacterium. Its description in RNAcentral is "partial 16S ribosomal RNA". It matches the Rfam family "Bacterial small subunit ribosomal RNA", at positions 30 to 526 of the family's 1533-position model. The record is from RNAcentral.